Carya illinoinensis is the source of this 2755-nucleotide long non-coding RNA. RefSeq lists it as uncharacterized. The record is from RefSeq and is a predicted model, not a curated record. The transcript is spliced from 2 exons. Lineage: Eukaryota; Viridiplantae; Streptophyta; Magnoliopsida; Fagales; Juglandaceae.
AUUUUUGGCUGCAUUUGCAAAACAGGGUGAAAAUGAGCGUAUUGUGAAUAAUGGUCCAUGGAUGUUCAGUAAUAGUUGUGGUUUUGAGUCUUGAUAGUGUGUGAUGGCUCGUUGCAACUCUCAAAGGUUCCUCUCUCUAUGGCUUCUUCCUGGGUUCAGUUUUAUGAUUUCCUAAUGGAUGGGAUGAAUGCUAGGAUAGUAUAAAAGAUUGCAAAAACUUUGGCCCAUGUUGAGGACAUUGACUUAAAAGAGUCACAGCCAGGGUGGGGAGAAUUCGUUCAGGUCAGGAUCUCUUUGGAUAUUAAUAAGCCAUUGUCGCGUGGUAAAAGGGUAUCGAGGGAAGCCAAGAUUAUGUUUGGAUUCACUUCAAAUACGAGCGGCUAUCAUAAGUUUGUUAUUAUUGUGGUUUAGAUGGGCAAGGUGAUCGGGAUUGCUUGAUGUGGAUAUGAAACAAAGAGAAGUUUGAAAAUGAAGGAUUUCCUUACAGUCCAUGGUUACGGGUUAGGGAUGCAUCAAUGCAGAAUAAGCCUAGGGUGGAAGUUAAAAACAAUAUGAAUGAAGGACCUUCUUCUUCUGUGACAGUGAAUGCUGAAAAUCACUGUAUUCCAUCUCCAGCGAAGUCUCUGGCGGUGAUGAACGCUUUUGGUCCACUAUCACAGGCAGUUAUUGGUGGGAAGCAGUUGCAUGAUGACCCAAAACCGUUGCCAAAUAUCUCUAAGUUUGUUGCUAAGCCUUUUAGGCUUAAUCCAACUUCAAGUGGGCCUUGUAUACGGCUUGGUCCAUCACUAUUAGUUGAAGCCUUAGCAAAGACUCAUUCUUCUGUCAUGCCUAAAUUGUGAAGGGGGAAGGGAACUCUAUGGAUUGGCAACCGUAACCUGCGUGGUACAUCUCAACGAGCAAUGGUGGUUCCAUCCAAACAGAAACAUAGUCAAGUUGAGAAACUAUCAUAAGAUUCUAUUAGUUUGGGUCAACUUAAGAAAUUGGAAUCUAUUGAUGAGGAAGCUAUGGUGGAGAUUCCAAUUUUAUCAAUGAAGGCUGAGGCUCAACCCUAUCGGACGCCAUGAAGAUAAUAAGCUAGAACUCCUGAGGGCUUGGGAACCCGCGGGGAGUUCGUAUACUCCAAGAUUUGAUUUGGAGGGAAGAUCCCGAAGUUUUCUUUGUUAUGAAGACUCACUGUGACGUUCGUCACAUGGAAAGACUUAAGUUUCAACUGGGGUUUUCUUGCUUUCUUGCGGUGGCUAGCGAUGGUCAAAGUGGAGGUCUUUGUCUCUUUUGGUGUAGUGAGCAUAUUGGAGUCUAAAUCUGUUGUUCAAUCUAGCCAUUUGUGGUGUAUUGCUAGAGGAGAGCAAGUGAAGAUUUAGUCAAAUAAUUGGUUCCUAAGCUCCCCAAACAGGAAAGUUAUUACUGCUAAUGCAUAUGUUAGCGAUUUAUUGGACUCUUCACAGUCCGGUCGGUGGAGGAUAGAUUUGAUACACCAAGUAUUUCUUCCUUUUGAGGCUUCUGAAAUCCUUAAAAUUCCAUUAUUUUCUCAUCAAAAUGCUGAUAAAAUGGUGUGAGAUUGUACACAAAAUGGUCAUUUUUGUGUGAGGUCAGCCUAUCAUUUAGCACUUCAAUUAAGAAAUGUUAUUGUAGCUGGAAGUAGUUCAAAUGUGAACUCUAAUGCAUCAUUUUGGAAGAGUAUUUGGCAUCUGCAGUUACCUAAUAAAGUAAAAAAAAAAUGUUGAGGGCAUGUAAUGAUGGCUUAUCCACCAAAAGCUAGCUACAUCAUCGUAAAAUAAUUCAUUCUAGUGUGUGUGGUUUCUGCCUUGUGGAGACUAAAGAUAUUUAUCAUGCACUAUGCAAAUGUUCUAAUAUUUCAAGAGUUUGGGUGAAUUAUUUUGAACAGGAUUAGCAUCUUCUGGAUGAGCAUUCCCGAUUUUAUAGAUUGGUUGGGGCAAUUAUGGCUCUUAAUGAUCUAAGUGUUCUUUUACGUCUUGCUGAUGUUGUUUGGGGUAUUUGAAAAUUUAGUAAUUUAAAGAUUUUCCAGCAUACAUAGGUUUCUAUUUGUGAUGUUUUGAGGAAUUGCUUUUCAAAUGUUAUUUGUUGGGUCGACAAUGUAUACAAGUUCCUCAGCAUCAAAUUAUAAACUUCUUUAUGUUGGAAACCUCCACCAAGUGGAUAGUGCAAGUUGAAUUUUGAUGGGGCUGUCUUCAGUCAGUAAUAUAAGUCUGGGGUGGGUGUAGUCUUGAAGGUUGACAAAGGGAGUACGAUUAUGGCCAUGUUAAGAAAGGAAAAAUGAAUCUUUUUGGUGGAAGACAUUGAGACGUUAGUGGCUUUAAUCUCAUAUGGAAAUUUCUCAUUUGAUCUUGGAGGGAGAUUCCCUUAUUGUUAUUGAAGCCAUUCAAUCAGCCACUAAUCAAGAGUUUAGAUACAACCCUAUUAUGAGGGAGAUUCAGUUAUUGUUAUCUUAUUCCCAGUCUUUUGAUGUUCUUCAUGUUGGACAGCAGGGAAAUAAGACAGCACAUAUAUUGCCCGGAAUGCACGGGUUGUUGCAAAUACUCUCCAAUGGUGGUUUCAUCCUCUUGACUUUAUUCAAGCAAGUUUAGCAGCGGAUGCAGUGGGCUAUUCAAGGGUGUAAUUGAAGGACUAAUGAUUGUAUUUUCAUUUAUGUAUUUUCAUUUACCUGCUUCUUUAUGGUGAAUGAAGCAAUAUUUGACUCUAAAAAAAAAAAAGAAUCUGUCAAUCAGGGAGUAUUAACGAAUUAAGUUUCAAACCA